Molecule: long non-coding RNA, 156 nt
Organism: Sinocyclocheilus anshuiensis
Lineage: Eukaryota; Metazoa; Chordata; Actinopteri; Cypriniformes; Cyprinidae
Exons: 3
Source: RefSeq, a predicted model, not a curated record
GCCUUUAGUCUUCUGGGCCUUGUCCACACGGAGACGUGUUUAGCUGUAAACGCAUACAUUUUGUAUCGUAUAGGCGUUUCGUCCACACGGAUCCGGCGUUUUGGGAGAGUUGAAACCGAUAUAUUUUUAAACUGGGUCCCAGAGUGGAUAAAUCUG